AGUGGCGGACGGGUGAGUAACGCGUGAGAAUCUACCCUCAGGAUGGGGACAACAGUUGGAAACGACUGCUAAUACCCAAUGUGCCGAGAGGUGAAACUUAUAUGGCCUGAGGAAGAGCUCGCGUCUGAUUAGCUAGUUGGUGGGGUAAGAGCCUACCAAGGCGACGAUCAGUAGCUGGUCUGAGAGGAUGAUCAGCCACACUGGGACUGAGACACGGCCCAGACUCCUACGGGAGGCAGCAGUGGGGAAUUUUCCGCAAUGGGCGAAAGCCUGACGGAGCAAGACCGCGUGAGGGAGGAAGGCCUACUGGUUGUAAACCUCUUUUGAUAGGGAAGAACACAAUGACGGUACCUAUCGAAUCAGCCUCGGCUAACUCCGUGCCAGCAGCCGCGGUAAUACGGAGGAGGCAAGCGUUAUCCGGAAUUAUUGGGCGUAAAGCGUCCGUAGGUGGUUUGCCAAGUCAGUUGUUAAAGCGUGGAGCUUAACUCCAUAAGGGCAAUUGAAACUGACAGGCUAGAGUGCGAUAGGGGCAAGGGGAAUUCCCAGUGUAGCGGUGAAAUGCGUAGAUAUUGGGAAGAACAUCGGUGGCGAAAGCGCCUUGCUGGGUCUGCACUGACACUGAGGGACGAAAGCUAGGGGAGCGAAAGGGAUUAGAUACCCCUGUAGUCCUAGCCGUAAACGAUGGAUACUAGGCGUUG
RNAcentral lists this ribosomal RNA (698 nucleotides) under uncultured Oscillatoriales cyanobacterium. Its description in RNAcentral is "bacterial SSU rRNA". It matches the Rfam family "Bacterial small subunit ribosomal RNA", at positions 94 to 825 of the family's 1533-position model. The record is from RNAcentral. Lineage: Bacteria; Bacillati; Cyanobacteriota; Cyanophyceae; Oscillatoriales.